This is a non-coding RNA of Bos taurus (domestic cattle), 72 nucleotides long. NCBI's taxonomy places the organism in Eukaryota, Metazoa, Chordata, Mammalia, Artiodactyla, Bovidae. The record is from Rfam.
UCCCUGGUGGUUCAGUGGUUAGGAUUUUGCCUUCUCAUGCAACAGGUUCAGGUUCAAUUCCUGGUCAGGAAG